CCUACGGGUGGCAGCAGUGAGGAAUAUUGGUCAAUGGACGAGAGUCUGAACCAGCCAAGUAGCGUGAAGGAUGACUGCCCUAUGGGUUGUAAACUUCUUUUAUACGGGAAUAAAACGUUCCACGUGUGGGAUUUUGUAUGUACCAUAUGAAUAAGGAUCGGCUAACUCCGUGCCAGCAGCCGCGGUAAUACGGAGGAUCCGAGCGUUAUCCGGAUUUAUUGGGUUUAAAGGGAGCGUAGGUGGAUUGUUAAGUCAGUUGUGAAAGUUUGCGGCUCAACCGUAAAAUUGCAGUUGAAACUGGCAGUCUUGAGUACAGUAGAGGUAGGCGGAAUUCGUGGUGUAGCGGUGAAAUGCUUAGAUAUCACGAAGAACUCCGAUUGCGAAGGCAGUUCACUGGACUGCAACUGACACUGAGGCUCGAAAGUGUGGGUAUCAAACAGGAUUAGAUACCCGAGUAGUC
This 460-nucleotide ribosomal RNA is filed under the name uncultured bacterium. Its description in RNAcentral is "partial 16S ribosomal RNA". It matches the Rfam family "Bacterial small subunit ribosomal RNA", at positions 338 to 795 of the family's 1533-position model. The record is from RNAcentral.